GCCUACGGGGGGCUGCAGUGGGGAAUAUUGGACAAUGGGGGCAACCCUGAUCCAGCCAUGCCGCGUGUGUGAAGAAGGCCCUCGGGUUGUAAAGCACUUUCAGUGAGGAAGAACGCCUGGUGGUUAAUACCCAUCAGGAAAGACAUCACUCACAGAAGAAGCACCGGCUAACUCCGUGCCAGCAGCCGCGGUAAUACGGAGGGUGCGAGCGUUAAUCGGAAUUACUGGGCGUAAAGCGCGCGUAGGUGGCUUGAUAAGCCGGUUGUGAAAGCCCCGGGCUCAACCUGGGAACGGCAUCCGGAACUGUCAAGCUAGAGUGCAGGAGAGGAAGGUAGAAUUCCCGGUGUAGCGGUGAAAUGCGUAGAGAUCGGGAGGAAUACCAGUGGCGAAGGCGGCCUUCUGGACUGACACUGACACUGAGGUGCGAAAGCGUGGGUAGCAAACAGGAUUAGAUACCCUGGUAGUC
Molecule: ribosomal RNA, 466 nt
Filed under: Vreelandella stevensii
Lineage: Bacteria; Pseudomonadati; Pseudomonadota; Gammaproteobacteria; Oceanospirillales; Halomonadaceae
Description: partial 16S ribosomal RNA
Rfam family: Bacterial small subunit ribosomal RNA
Source: RNAcentral